UACGUAGGGUGCGAGCGUUAAUCGGAAUUACUGGGCGUAAAGCGUGCGCAGGCGGUUCUCCAAGUCCGUUGUGAAAGCCCCGGGCUCAACCUGGGAAUGGCAGUGGAAACUAGGGGACUGGAAUCUGGCAGAGGGGGGUGGAAUGCCGCGUGUAGCAGUGAAAUGCGUAGAGAUGCGGCGGAACACCGAUGGCGAAGGCGGGUCUCUGGGCAGUAACUGACGCUGAGGAGCGAAAGCGUGGGGAGCGAACAGG
Molecule: ribosomal RNA, 253 nt
Filed under: uncultured bacterium
Lineage: Bacteria
Description: partial 16S ribosomal RNA
Rfam family: Bacterial small subunit ribosomal RNA
Source: RNAcentral